GUUCCUCAAAUUGAAGUCACUUUUGAUAUUGAUGCCAAUGGCAUUCUCAACGUCUCUGCUGUGGAUAAGAGUACAGGAAAAGAGAACAAAAUCACUAUCACUAAUAACAAGGGUCAUUUGAGCAAGGAAGACAUUGAGUGUAUGGUCCAGGAGACUGAAAAGUACAAAGCUGAAGAUGAGAAGCAGAGGGACAAAGUAUCAUCCAAGAAUUCACUUGAAUCCUAUGCCUUUAACAUGAAGGCAACUGUUGAAGAUGAGAAACUUCAAGGCAAGAUCAAUGAUGAGGACAAACAGAAGAUUCUUGACAAGUGUAAUGAAAUUGUCAGUUGGCUUGAUAAGAAUCAGACUGCAGAGAAGGAGAAAUUUGAACACCAGCAGAAAGAGCUGGAGAAAGUCUGCAAUUCCAUCAUUACCAAACUGUACCAGAGUGCAGGAGGCAUGCAGGAGGCAUGCCAGGAGGAAUGCCUGGGGGAUUCCCUGGUGGUGGAGCUCCUCCCUCUUGUGGUGCUUCCUCAGGCCCCACCAUCGAAGAGGUUGAUUAA
RNA transcript from Carlito syrichta (Philippine tarsier), 542 nucleotides. It is a transcript of the gene named heat shock cognate 71 kDa protein pseudogene, with no coding region annotated. The transcript has a single exon. NCBI's taxonomy places the organism in Eukaryota, Metazoa, Chordata, Mammalia, Primates, Tarsiidae. The record is from RefSeq and is a predicted model, not a curated record.